UUAGGAAACACUUCUUACAAAGAGGGGGAAGUGAGAGAGAUUUUGAUGGAUGGGAGAAUUAGAGGCAGAGAGGUGGAGAGGACAAGAUCCAGGCAAGAAGGAAACUGAUCUUCGUGUAUGGUACCCAUCCUUGGCACCCCUAUACCUGAGCCUGCCCUCAUCUGACCCUCUCUUCUUCACCAGCCCCAUCGCAAGUAUACCCAGCUUUAUCCUCCACAUCAGGGGCUGAG
RNAcentral lists this long non-coding RNA (230 nucleotides) under Homo sapiens (human). RNAcentral's name for it is "non-protein coding lnc-SMAD7-4:1". The record is from RNAcentral. Lineage: Eukaryota; Metazoa; Chordata; Mammalia; Primates; Hominidae.